GAUGAACGCUGGCGGCGUGCCUAAUACAUGCAAGUCGAGCGAACAGACGAGGAGCUUGCUCCUCUGACGUUAGCGGCGGACGGGUGAGUAACACGUGGAUAACCUACCUAUAAGACUGGGAUAACUUCGGGAAACCGGAGCUAAUACCGGAUAAUAUAUUGAACCGCAUGGUUCAAUAGUGAAGGACGGUUUUGCUGUCACUUAUAGAUGGAUCCGCGCCGCAUUAGCUAGUUGGUAAGGUAACGGCUUACCAAGGCAACGAUGCGUAGCCGACCUGAGAGGGUGAUCGGCCACACUGGAACUGAGACACGGUCCAGACUCCUACGGGAGGCAGCAGUAGGGAAUCUUCCGCAAUGGGCGAAAGCCUGACGGAGCAACGCCGCGUGAGUGAUGAAGGUCUUCGGAUCGUAAAACUCUGUUAUUAGGGAAGAACAAAUGUGUAAGUAACUAUGCACAUCUUGACGGUACCUAAUCAGAAAGCCACGGCUAACUACGUG
RNAcentral lists this ribosomal RNA (497 nucleotides) under uncultured bacterium. Its description in RNAcentral is "partial 16S ribosomal RNA". It matches the Rfam family "Bacterial small subunit ribosomal RNA", at positions 28 to 507 of the family's 1533-position model. The record is from RNAcentral.